Non-coding RNA from Aspergillus lentulus, 81 nucleotides. Lineage: Eukaryota; Fungi; Ascomycota; Eurotiomycetes; Eurotiales; Aspergillaceae. The record is from the annotation of a RefSeq genome assembly.
GGUAAGAUGGCCGAGUGGUUAAGGCGAGUGACUUAAGUUCACUUGACGAAAGUCGCGUGGGUUCGAACCCCACUCUUACCA